RNAcentral lists this ribosomal RNA (460 nucleotides) under uncultured bacterium. RNAcentral describes it as "partial 16S ribosomal RNA". It matches the Rfam family "Bacterial small subunit ribosomal RNA", at positions 338 to 795 of the family's 1533-position model. The record is from RNAcentral.
CCUACGGGAGGCAGCAGUGAGGAAUAUUGGUCAAUGGCCGGAAGGCUGAACCAGCCAUGCCGCGUGAAGGUCAGUGCCCUUUGGGCGUUAAACUUCUUUUGUGCGGGAGCAAUAAUGGUCACGUGUGGCCAGACGAGAGUACCGUACGCAUAAGCAUCGGCUGAAUCCGUGCCAGCAGCCGCGGUAAUACGGGGGAUGCAAGCGGUUUCCGGAUUUAAUGGGGUUCAAGGGUGCGGUGGCUGGUAGGUAAGUGUGCUGUGAAAUGCCCCGGCUGAAGGGGGUGAAGUGCCAUUGAUACUGGCGUGCUGGAGUGCGGAUGCGGUGGGAGGAAUGCGUGGUGUAGCGGUGAAAUGCAUAGAUAUCACGCAGAACACCGAUUGCGAAGGCAGCUCUCGACACCGCAAUUGACGCUGAUGCACGAAAGCGUGGGUAUCAAACAGGAUUAGAUACCCCUGUAGUC